This 265-nucleotide ribosomal RNA is filed under the name uncultured bacterium. Its description in RNAcentral is "partial 16S ribosomal RNA". It matches the Rfam family "Bacterial small subunit ribosomal RNA", at positions 793 to 1055 of the family's 1533-position model. The record is from RNAcentral.
GUCCACGCUGUAAACUAUGGAUACUAGCUGUUGGGGGUAUCGACCCCUCCAGUAGCGAAGCUAACGCGUUAAGUAUCCCCGCCUGUGGAGUACGGCCGCAAGGCUAAAAACAUAAAAGGAAUUGACGGGGACCCGCACAAGCGGUGGAUCAUGUUCUUUAAUUCGAUGAUAAACGAAGAACCUUACCAGGGUUUGACAUCCUUGGAAUCCUAUCGAAAGAUGGGAUGCUUUAUGAACCAAGUGACAGAUGAUGCAUGGCCGUCGU